This is a long non-coding RNA of Herpailurus yagouaroundi (jaguarundi), 1707 nucleotides long. RefSeq lists it as uncharacterized. The record is from RefSeq and is a predicted model, not a curated record. The transcript is spliced from 3 exons. NCBI's taxonomy places the organism in Eukaryota, Metazoa, Chordata, Mammalia, Carnivora, Felidae.
GGAUACGCCAUUGUGCCUCUACAGCAACGCCUUUGCGGGAAAGGUGAGGUUUUCCUACAGCAGAGCCGUGAGCAGGUUGGCCCAGGAACAUUCCCGUCAACAAGAGUUCCUUUGACAGAGUAAGAUGGCAGAAGAAAUGUCUGCAAGUUGGAAAAUGAGCUUAAUGUGCUAAAUUGUUGCCGGAAUCCACAGAACCACCAGAGAACCACUCCGAAGACGCGUCCUGCUGAUUCCACGAGGAGGAGAUAACAGUUCUAUUGAUUCAAGUUAUUCUUACCUGGAGCUCCAUCUAAGUAUAGAAAAUGUGCCCAAAGCUGUCACAUCUUCACGGUAUUUUUACACCUUUAUAUAACGCACACCAUGAAAGAAGUCAUCCUACAGAUUUGCCUCUUGAAAUUUUUCACUGCUGAGAUUCUGAGGAAGUUCCUAACAUAACUAACCCCACACACAAUCCACACGGCAGCACCGAAAACUACAUAGAAUAAGUUGCUCCUUGAGUACAGGUAAGAUGAACAUUACUGCUACUGGAGUUGUUGGCAUCUGACAUAUAGUUAAAUUCCUAAAGCUGUUUUUAAACCUAGGAUGGACUUUUUGAUGGAGGAAAACAUGACAUUACAUUGCAUAAAAUUCUAGCUGCUUUUCCUACCCAGCUGACGUUGUUCUCCAAGAUUCCCGGCACUUUUACCAUUUGGCCUUUGGUGGCACAUGGACACUGGAGCCUAUUUUCAACAAUAUAUACGUCAAAAAAAAAAAAAGGGGGGGUUGCAUGCUUAAUGGUCACCCUAAAACCAAAUUCACAAAAUCAUAAGAACACAAAGCAGUCCCUGAAGAGUCUGCAUGUCAUGAGACUGUGUUCCAAGCAGCCUCACAGGGAGACAUUACUUUGGUGAAUUUUUCCACAGUGCAAAAUCCGGUCCAUGGCUUUGCACCCUCAGCAGCCCGAUCUAUCAGCAAAGUGGGAGGAAAUGCACACGCCGGAGGCGGGCUUAGAACUCAAAGAGCACAAAACGCUAAAGACUGCUGUCAAGAUCCAAAUAUGUUAAUUUACAACAAGAAGCAGAGUGUCAGAGCACAACACCCGUGGGGGCAAGCCAGCUCAUUCUCUUUCUGUAGACACACCUCCCGGAAGAGCCAGAUCAUAAUGGCAAGGUCACUUGGUGAUGAAAAAAUGGAACAGAAGUCUUACGUAACUCAAAUGGAAGGCCAGGAUUCAGAUUCCAGUUCCACCACUUCCUGAUUUACCCUGAUGUCUCACAGGAGGGAGCAGUGACCCCGCAGACUCACCUAGCAGCGAGGGGUCCACCCCCCACCCCCCACCCCCCACCCCUGCAGUGGCUUUGGCUGGGAACUGCAGGCUCACCUCCGUGGCUCAUCAGUCCCUCUGCUGAAUGACAGACGUUUCCUUUAGAUGUGUCCAUGUCUAACUCUGGGAGACAAACAGUUACCCUAAAGGAACCUCUGCCCUCUCUGCCAGUGCCAUUUAAAGGUGUCAUCGGAUUCGUUUCUUUUUUCUUCUUCUUAUUUAUUUGUAUCAUCAUUCUUCUUUUCUGUUCACGCCACCACCACCAGGCAAGUCUGGCCCCACAUCUCCCCAAGGCAGGAGCCUAACUGGCUUACGUCCCUCAAGCCUGUCUCAUUGUCCAACUCCAAAGAUCGCUACUACAUGCACACGUACUUCAGGUUAAGGUUCUAUACAUGUGUUUUCCC